Non-coding RNA from Phrynosoma platyrhinos (Desert horned lizard), 72 nucleotides. NCBI's taxonomy places the organism in Eukaryota, Metazoa, Chordata, Lepidosauria, Squamata, Phrynosomatidae. The record is from the annotation of a GenBank genome assembly.
GCCAGUGUGGCUUUAUGGCUUGGGCACUGGACUGUGACUCUGGAGACCAGGGUUCGAAUCCCUGCUUGGCCA